CUGGGACAUAAUUCACCACGGCCAGAGUGGAUUUGCUGUACGCAGGAGUCAUCCUUCUAACCUGCCAUGUCCAUAGGUCUCUAAGUCCACUGAUGACAGGAAAAUCUUCAGUGGUUCCAGAGACAAGCUGCUGGAAAUCCUGCACAUUUAUCUUCCAGGAGGAAGUGAGCUGGUUAGGAUAGAGGUCCCUUCUGGAAGAACCUCCCCCAAAACUUUAAAGGACUCCAAAUUAAGCCAUGUCCAUUUCUGGGACCCUAAAGUGGCUCAUGAAAGUCAGGGGCCACUUGCUUAAUGUUAGGUGAUUUCAAAAGCCUUAAGAUUCUAAGGGGGGAGUGAAGAUGGGGAAGGUGAGGCUGAAUAAAUUGUGAGAAUCUAUCAAAUAA
Neogale vison (American mink) is the source of this 383-nucleotide long non-coding RNA. RefSeq lists it as uncharacterized. The record is from RefSeq and is a predicted model, not a curated record. Lineage: Eukaryota; Metazoa; Chordata; Mammalia; Carnivora; Mustelidae. The transcript has 2 exons.